Acanthochromis polyacanthus (spiny chromis) is the source of this 441-nucleotide long non-coding RNA. RefSeq lists it as uncharacterized. The record is from RefSeq and is a predicted model, not a curated record. Lineage: Eukaryota; Metazoa; Chordata; Actinopteri; Pomacentridae. The transcript is spliced from 4 exons.
UUGUAUCGCAUGUCCUUUUUUUUUAACAAACCAGAAAAGUGUAAAAAACCAUACAGUACUUGAGUGAUACGUAAUGUUUUAACAACAAAAAUACAGCACCCCCCUCCCCCCAUCUUGCCUCAAAAUGGUUUGAUCCUGCUCAACUUUCCCAACUCGGGCUCUGAGCCGCUACUUGCAGAGCUAAGCGCUGCCCCACAGAAGACAGACAGCCUCAUCAUGGACAUAAGAUUGUUUUUUCGAAGAAAAGAGCCGGGUUCAGCUGAAUACAAUCUAUUUGUGUAUGAUUGUCAGUCCAAAGAGGAAGAGAUGAAAAAGGAGAGGAGAGAGUGCAAAGUCAGGAAGAACCAGGAAGGGAACACGGAGAGACUCUGGGAGAUGAGAGCGUGCAGACCAGGGAAAGAAAUGCUGUGCAUCACAUUUCAAAUAAAAGUCAAAAAAUAA